CCUCCGUAGCCAGCGCCGGUGACAAGCUUCCUUGUUUCUCAUUUCCCUCCCUUCUAAAGGACAACUGGUUCCGUUCUUUGUUAUAGUUCUCUGGAAAUUAUUAUGCAAUCGAACCACACUGUUUCCUAAAAGCAGGAACCGGGCAAGAGGCUGACCCUGGUUAUUUACGGAGUGCAGGAUGCCUUGGUGCUGUGAAACCAUCUACACCUGAAGGAAAGCAGUGCUGUCACUACUCAUUUCUAGGCCUUGGGCAGGCCCUAAAUUCUGUGUUGCAACCAGCAGCAAAGUAGGCUUACACACCACAAAGUCUCUCAGAAACCCCGGAAGAAGAUCCCAAGGAAGACACGCCACACCCCCAAG
Rhineura floridana is the source of this 360-nucleotide long non-coding RNA. RefSeq lists it as uncharacterized. NCBI's taxonomy places the organism in Eukaryota, Metazoa, Chordata, Lepidosauria, Squamata, Rhineuridae. The transcript has 3 exons. The record is from RefSeq and is a predicted model, not a curated record.